Molecule: long non-coding RNA, 768 nt
Organism: Tachysurus vachellii
Lineage: Eukaryota; Metazoa; Chordata; Actinopteri; Siluriformes; Bagridae
Exons: 4
Source: RefSeq, a predicted model, not a curated record
AAACGGGUCAACGUGACCUGAAACAGCAAACCGUAGAUUUUAGAAAGCACUUUGAAACGAUUACACUCACCAUUCAAGUUCAUGCAAGAAUGAGUUCAGAAGAAUAACCACAGUUCCCCUGGAGCCAACCUUUCUGCAAACACUGGACCUCUAAACUCCAAAGCUCCUAAAUUUGUUUAAAAUGAAGGGUGGGGAUGCAGGCAUAAAAAUAAGAAAUAUGCUAGAUUUUCUCUGGCAGCGAGUUGAAGAUAAGAGAGAUGCUGUGAUUCGGUGCCUGCUUUCCUAUCUGGGAGAAUCAUCUGAGGAGCUCAUUGAAGCCUAUCAGAUACAUUAAUAGAUAAAUUCAAAUUUCAUUUUGACUUAUGUGUACAGUACUGCAAAAGUCUAAGGCACAUUAGUAUUUUCAUCCUAGUUUACAUUAAUAACAUUCAUUUUGCCAUUAUUUGUAAUAUUCAAGUGAGAUUUUUGUAUGCACAGGGAGUCAUACAGUUGGUGCUCCACAGAAGUUCUGAUCUCACAUUUCAGCCUAAAUCAAGAAAAACUGUGGCAAUAUCUCCAAAAUGUUAAAAAAAAAAACAUCUAAAAAAGAAAUUUGUGUCAUUUAUUACUCACCCUCAUGCCAUUUCAAACCCGUAAGACCAUCGUUCAUCUCCAGAACACAAAUUAAAACAAUUUUGGUGAGUAUUCUCGUCGCUUCACAACAUUAAGGUUGAACCACUGUUGUCACAUUCUCUAUUUUAACAAUGUUUUUACUACCUUUCUGGGCCU